This 60-nucleotide microRNA precursor is filed under the name Pristionchus pacificus. RNAcentral describes it as "microRNA ppc-mir-8245b precursor". Lineage: Eukaryota; Metazoa; Nematoda; Chromadorea; Rhabditida; Neodiplogasteridae. The record is from miRBase by way of RNAcentral.
UGACUGCUCUCUGUCAAGUUGUUGGAAUCGAAGCAACUACUUGUACAAUGAGCGGUUAGA